This 571-nucleotide ribosomal RNA is filed under the name Bacillus sp. PSu1_43. Its description in RNAcentral is "bacterial SSU rRNA". It matches the Rfam family "Bacterial small subunit ribosomal RNA", at positions 57 to 610 of the family's 1533-position model. The record is from RNAcentral. Lineage: Bacteria; Bacillati; Bacillota; Bacilli; Caryophanales; Bacillaceae.
GCAAGUCGAGCGGACCGACGGGAGCUUGCUCCCUUAGGUCAGCGGCGGACGGGUGAGUAACACGUGGGUAACCUGCCUGUAAGACUGGGAUAACUCCGGGAAACCGGGGCUAAUACCGGAUGCUUGAUUGAACCGCAUGGUUCAAUCAUGAAAGGCGGCUUCGGCUGCCGUUUACAGAUGGACCCGCGGCGCAUUAGCUAGUUGGUGAGGUAACGGCUCACCAAGGCGACGAUGCGUAGCCGACCUGAGAGGGUGAUCGGCCACACUGGGACUGAGACACGGCCCAGACUCCUACGGGAGGCAGCAGUAGGGAAUCUUCCGCAAUGGACGAAAGUCUGACGGAGCAACGCCGCGUGAGUGAUGAAGGUUUUCGGAUCGUAAAGCUCUGUUGUUAGGGAAGAACAAGUACCGUUCGAAUAGGGCGGUACCUUGACGGUACCUAACCAGAAAGCCACGGCUAACUACGUGCCAGCAGCCGCGGUAAUACGUAGGUGGCAAGCGUUGUCCGGAAUUAUUGUGCGUAAAGCGCGCGCAGGCGGUUUCUUACGUCUGAUGUGAAAGCCCCCGGCUC